RNAcentral lists this small RNA (784 nucleotides) under Pan troglodytes (chimpanzee). RNAcentral's name for it is "processed transcript". Lineage: Eukaryota; Metazoa; Chordata; Mammalia; Primates; Hominidae. The record is from RNAcentral.
CGCAGGGGCUCGAGAGGCCUGGACCUGUGGCGCAUCCUCAGUGAGGAGGGCCGACCUGCACCCGUCGCCGGCCCCGGUCUCCAGGGGCUUCACCCGAGUCAUGCCCCGCUAUUGCGCAGCGAUUUGUUGUAAGAACCGCCGGGGACGAAACAAUAAAGACCGGAAGCUGAGUUUUUAUCCACCUGAAGGACUUAUUCAUUAAUGAUUCGGCUGCUUUCCAGUAUUUUAAUUAAUGGAAAAAAAAAUUGAUAACCCCACCAGGCGCGGUGGCUCACGCCUGUAAUCCCAGCACUUUGGGAGGCUGAGGCGGGCAGAUCACCUGAGGUCGGCAGUUUGAGACCAGCCUGACCAACAUGGAGAAACCCCGUCUCUACUAAAAAUACAAAAUUAGCCGCGCGUGGUGGCGCAUGCCUGUGAUCUCAGCUGCUCGGGAGGCUGAGGCAGGUGAAUCGCUUGAACCCGGGAGGUGGAGGUUGAGAUUUCCUCUACAUGACAAAGAAAGACUGGAAAAGUGGUUAAAGAAUAUGAAGCGAGAUUCAUGGGUUCCCAGUAAAUACCAGUUUCUAUGUAGUGACCAUUUUACUCCUGACUCUCUUGACAUCAGAUGGGGUAUUCGAUAUUUAAAACAAACUGCAGUUCCAACAAUAUUUUCUUUGCCUGAAGACAAUCAGGGAAAAGACCCUUCUAAAAAAAAAUCCCAGAAGAAAAACUUGGAAGAUGAGAAAGAAGUAUGCCCAAAAGCCAAGUCAGAAGAAUCAUUUGUAUUAAAUGAGACAAAGAAAAA